CUUUAUUAGUUCUCUAUAUUCUCUGCCUCCAGGGAGAAGGAACCAAAUCCUGCUACGUCCAAGAGAUCGCGAGAACACAGACUGAGGAUGAGCAGUGACUGCACGUCCCUCUGCAUUCUCGCGAUCUCUUGGCCCCCAGUGAAUGCCCACACACCACUCAGGACCGCAGAGUUCAAAGAUCCAGGGAUGCUAAGCAGCGCUCGGGGAUUCACUGGGGGCCACAACAGAUAGUUCAGCCAAAUUACCUGUGGGGCCGUAUUAAAUCGGAACGCGGGACGCAAUUGGCCGGACUUUGGACAUGACUGCCCUAAACAGUAGUGAAUUAGGCAUAACACACAAGAUUUGGAAAUUGUUAUAGACAAACUAGGCAACAUUGUGCAAUGUCAAUCAGCAGUUUCUAAGGCCAGUAAGAUUUUGACAUAAAAAGGGACAUUAUUUCUCAGGAUGAAAAUUACAAUUUUGCCUCUUUAUAAAAUCACUGAUAAGUCUACAGCUUGAAUAUGCU
Molecule: non-coding RNA, 505 nt
Organism: Pelobates cultripes (western spadefoot toad)
Lineage: Eukaryota; Metazoa; Chordata; Amphibia; Anura; Pelobatidae
Source: the annotation of a GenBank genome assembly